This 250-nucleotide ribosomal RNA is filed under the name uncultured bacterium. Its description in RNAcentral is "partial 16S ribosomal RNA". It matches the Rfam family "Bacterial small subunit ribosomal RNA", at positions 524 to 773 of the family's 1533-position model. The record is from RNAcentral.
UACGUAGGUGGCGAGCGUUGUCCGGAUUUACUGGGCGUAAAGCGCGCGUAGGUGGCCUGUUAAGUUUUGCGUGAAAGGUUCCGGCCCAACCGGGACAGUGCGCGAGAUACUGGCGGGCUUGAGGGCAGCAGAGGCUGAUGGAAUUCCCGGUGGAGUGGUGAAAUGCGUAGAUAUCGGGAGGAACACCAGUGGCGAAGGCGAUCAGCUGGGCUGUCCCUGACGCUGAGGUGCGAAAGCGUGGGGAGCGAAC